Molecule: long non-coding RNA, 866 nt
Organism: Pungitius pungitius (ninespine stickleback)
Lineage: Eukaryota; Metazoa; Chordata; Actinopteri; Perciformes; Gasterosteidae
Exons: 3
Source: RefSeq, a predicted model, not a curated record
CCCGGCCCCACUCCUCCUGCUGCUGAAGCUGCCAGAGGAGCUGUUGAAAGAGUGUUUUUUUUAAUGCGGGCCACCAGUAUAUCUCUGCGUCAGCUGCAGUCUGCUUUGGAUCAGCCUGUCCAACAUGGACAGCAACAGAAUGCGCACACAGAGGGACCUGCAGAAGAUCACAGCAGCAACCUGCUUACCCCCAGAGAAGAACCUGUCUGCGGCCGCAGGGGGGCAGAGGGGAGCGCUCCAUUUCACUCAGGGGACAUUCUGGAAAAGAUCACAGAUGCAAUAUUAAGAAUGGCUCAAUCAAACACAACAAAGUUGCCAUCCAAGUUUAUGUUGCAGAUAGGAAAACUCCCCAAGCACUGCCUUUCUUACUCCAUGGUUCAGUGUGACCCCAUUAAUUGUGAAUGUUGCACUCUCAAUGUCACUCUGACUUGUGCUCGGAGGAGCCAAGCAUCAUUUUGUUGGAGAUUGUUAAUUGAGGUAGAAACAUAGUUGGAGGAGGAUUACUUGUUCCCUGCCUGCUACCGAAAAAGUAAUUCAAAUAAAAACAUCAUUGAGCUCACAUAAUUAGUUUUUCAGUGACUGGCUGAACAUCAUUAUUAUGCUCAGCUCAUACCAUUGUACUUAAUUGAGGAGGAUCCUUUUUUUCUGACUAGAUAAUUUUGGGUAUGGUUUGUCUUUGAAAGUUGGAGAACUUCAACAAAUGUUACUGUGGUAGACAGGUCUGCACUUUUUGGACAGUUUUGGACCUUAAUAAAGUACCAAUAGAUAGCAUGCUAGCACUGACCAAGAGGGGGGAACAUAGUAAACACCGGCUUAAAGGUAUACUUUCUGACCUGCUUACAAAGCUUCCACUCAUUUUUAAAUAU